AAUAUAACGGGGCUAAAGUAAGUACCGAAGCUGUAGACUUGCGCACAACUUAGAUUAUUUAAGUUUAGAAUAUGAGAAACUAAGUUAUAUUUUUACUGAUUUUUAUAGAGUAAAGAUAGAAAUAAAACUUAGUAAAAUCAGUAAAAAUAUUCUUAGGCUAAAGUUAAGUAGUUUAAGUUGUGUGCAAGUGGUAGGAGAGCGUUCUAUUUGCGUCGAAGGUAUACCGGUAAGGAGUGCUGGAGCGAAUAGAAGUGAGCAUGCAGGCAUGAGUAGCGAUAAUUAAUGUGAGAAUCAUUAACGCCGUAAACCCAAGGUUUCCUACGCGAUGCUCGUCAUCGUAGGGUUAGUCGGGUCCUAAGUCGAGUCCGAAAGGGGUAGACGAUGGCAAAUUGGUUAAUA
RNAcentral lists this ribosomal RNA (399 nucleotides) under Campylobacter jejuni. RNAcentral describes it as "partial 23S ribosomal RNA". It matches the Rfam family "Bacterial large subunit ribosomal RNA", at positions 1169 to 1435 of the family's 2925-position model. The record is from RNAcentral. Lineage: Bacteria; Pseudomonadati; Campylobacterota; Epsilonproteobacteria; Campylobacterales; Campylobacteraceae.